AGAGUUUGAUCCUGGCUCAGAACUAACGCUGGCGGCAUGCCUAACACAUGCAAGUCGAACGAGAACGUCUCUUCGGAGGCUAGUAAAGUGGCGCACGGGUGAGUAACACGUGAGUAAUCUGCCCCUGAAACCGGGAUAACUUCGCGAAAGCGGGGCUAAUACCGGAUAAUAUCAUCGAUUCAUAAGAGUUGGUGAUCAAAGGUGACCUCUUCACAAUGUUGCAGUUCAGGGAUGAACUCGCGGCCCAUUAGCUUGUUGGUAAGGUAACGCUUAUCAAGGCUACGAUGGGUAGCCGGCCUGAGAGGGUGAUCGGCCACACUGGAACUGAGACACGGUCCAGACUCCUACGGGAGGCAGCAGUGGGGAAUAUUGCGCAGUGGGGGAAACCCUGACGCAGCAAUGCCGCGUGAGUGAUGAAGGCCUUCGGGUUGUAAAGCUCUGUCAGAUGGGAAGAAAUAUGUGGAUUUCAAUAGGAUCCAUAUUUGACGGUACCAUCAGAGGAAGCCCCGGCUAACUCCGUGCCAGCAGCCGCGGUAAUACGGAGGGGGCAAGCGUUGUUCGGAAUUACUGGGCGUAAAGGGCACGUAGGCGGCCUGGUUAGUCAGGCGUGAAAUCCCAUGGCUCAACCAUGGAAUUGCGUUUGAUACUACCAGGCUUGAGUACAGGAGAGGAAAGUGGAAUUCCUAGUGUAGCGGUGAAAUGCGCAGAUAUUAGGAGGAACACCAGUGGCGAAGGCGACUUUCUGGCCUGAUACUGACGCUGAGGUGCGAAAGCGUGGGGAGCGAACGGGAUUAGAUACCCCGGUAGUCCACGCCGUAAACGAUGGGUACUAGGUGUAGGAGGUGAUUAAUCCUUCUGUGCCGAAGCUAACGCAUUAAGUACCCCGCCUGGGGAGUACGGUCGCAAGACUGAAACUCAAAGGAAUUGACGGGGGCCCGCACAAGCGGUGGAGCAUGUGGUUUAAUUCGACGCAACGCGAAGAACCUUACCAAGGUUUGACAUGUACUUGCUAUCCUGUGAAAGCAGGAGUUCCUUCGGGACGGGUACACAGGUGCUGCAUGGCUGUCGUCAGCUCGUGUCGUGAGAUGUUGGGUUAAGUCCCGCAACGAGCGCAACCCUCACCCUUAGUUACCAGCGGAUAAUGCCGGGGACUCUAAGGGAACCGCCUCGGUAACGGGGAGGAAGGUGGGGAUGACGUCAAGUCCUCAUGGCCUUUUAUGCCUUGGGCUACACACGUGCUACAAUGGGUGGUACAAAGGGUCGCAAUACCGCGAGGUGGAGCCAACCCCAAAAAAACCAUCCCCAGUUCGGAUUGAAGUCUGCAACUCGACUUCACGAAACCGGAAUCGCUAGUAAUCGUGGAUCAGCACGCCACGGUGAAUACGUUCCCGGGCCUUGUACACACCGCCCGUCACACCACGAAAGUUAGUUGUACUAGAAGUAACUGGGCUAACCACGCAUUAGUGUGGAGGCAGGUUACUAAGGUAUGGCCGGCGAUUGGGGUGAAGUCGGAACAAGGUA
This 1521-nucleotide ribosomal RNA is filed under the name metagenome. Its description in RNAcentral is "bacterial SSU rRNA". It matches the Rfam family "Bacterial small subunit ribosomal RNA". The record is from RNAcentral.